AAGAAAGUCAAUGCAAGGGUGCAACAACAUUCGUAUUUAGAUGAAAUUGAAUGAACAUUUUAAUGUUGUUACAUAUAGACCUUCUCCACCUUAGAACCAUCAGCAAAAAAGUAAAGUCACCAUCCAGGAUGCAUGACAAUGUUUUGGAAAGAUUGUUAUGUCUAACCCAGUGUCUCACAAGCAAAGAGAUCCUGAGGCAAGGCGUGAUCAUCCAUCUUG
Long non-coding RNA from Quercus lobata, 219 nucleotides. RefSeq lists it as uncharacterized. Lineage: Eukaryota; Viridiplantae; Streptophyta; Magnoliopsida; Fagales; Fagaceae. The record is from RefSeq and is a predicted model, not a curated record. The transcript is spliced from 2 exons.